UCCUCCAAGGCUAAAUACUCCUGACUGACCGAUAGUGAACCAGUACCGUGAGGGAAAGGCGAAAAGAACCCCGGCGAGGGGAGUGAAAAAGAACCUGAAACCGUGUACGUACAAGCAGUGGGAGCACAGGUUUACCUGUGUGACUGCGUACCUUUUGUAUAAUGGGUCAGCGACUUAUAUUCUGUAGCAAGGUUAACCGUAUAGGGGAGCCG
RNAcentral lists this ribosomal RNA (212 nucleotides) under Salmonella enterica subsp. enterica serovar Virchow. RNAcentral describes it as "partial 23S ribosomal RNA". It matches the Rfam family "Bacterial large subunit ribosomal RNA", at positions 456 to 668 of the family's 2925-position model. The record is from RNAcentral. Lineage: Bacteria; Pseudomonadati; Pseudomonadota; Gammaproteobacteria; Enterobacterales; Enterobacteriaceae. RNAcentral also lists the same sequence under 3 other names.